Long non-coding RNA from Rosa rugosa (rugosa rose), 2745 nucleotides. RefSeq lists it as uncharacterized. The record is from RefSeq and is a predicted model, not a curated record. The transcript is spliced from 5 exons. Lineage: Eukaryota; Viridiplantae; Streptophyta; Magnoliopsida; Rosales; Rosaceae.
UAGGGUUUCGACCUUGAUUUGUGUUGGGUUUUAGGGCUUCCUGGGGAUAUCGAUUUGGGGUUUUAGGGUUUCUUUGGGAUAUCGAAUUGGGAGUUUCCUUUGAAAUUAGAUUUGGGAUAACGAUUUAGAGAUGGGGUGAUUGAAAUAGAAUUGGGUUUUAUUCUGGUUUAUGGAUUUGGGGAUGGUUUAUGGUUCAUUUCGAUUUGGGAUGGUUUAUGGUUAUUCAGAAUCUAAGGCUCUGACUCCUCUCUAAUAGUGCUCCUCCCUCUCAAUCUUCAGCCUCCAUGACUCUAUAUCUGAUGCCUGAGAUUUAGUUCCUCGUUUUUUCUGUUGGGUUUUCUGAAAUUUUCACUUCUUAUUGAUUGGGACAUUGGGUAUAUGAAAUCUAUGUUUGAGUAUAUGAAAUCCAUGUUUGGGUUUAUUGAUUGGAUGGUUGCUGGCUUGCUGCAAUUGCUUAUUGUUUGGAAUUGAUGCUUUGUUAAUGGAGUGAUGGUUGUUUGACGUUUAUUUAAACAAUUGCUGAUUGUUUGAUUGUUUGGAUUAUACAUUCGUAGCUGGUGGGACAAUUGCUUAGACUCCUUGCUUCUCAAUUGCAAUUUGAGGUUAUGCUUGUCCCCACAUUAAUUUUUCAUUCUAUUAACUUUGUUAGCUGGACUUUAUUACCUGCAGUUGAUUUUCAUGAAUGGAUUAUUACGUCUUUCUUAAUUUCUUGGAUUCUAGGCUCAUAGUGCUGGGAGAUGGUUCUGCACCUUUAUUCAUGGCAAGAGAACAUGUCAUUGUCUGAACCUUGCAACUGACUUCACUAUGCGAAGCCGGAGACUUUGGGAUUUUGAAAUUGCUUCAUGGUAUUGGAUUCUAGUCGAGGCAAAUCUGAACAAGGCAGAGUGCAGUUGCUGUCUUGGUUGCCGACGAAUUGGGAACCUGUUUUGAGUCGCUGUCCCUCAUUCUUUUAUUUGUAGAAUAGCAACGUGAUGCCCACCAACUGUUCGAUGAAAGGCCAAAGACAAUCUCUGCAGAAUUUGAUUGAGGUAGUCUUGGUGAGCUUUGUCUUAUUGACUUUUGCUUCUUCCCUUUCUUUGACUUUUAUUCUUCCUUUGAUAAGCCUUGGCAUUCAUCCUUGUUAAUUAAUCCACUGCCUCAUUACAAGAGUCCAGCAGAUUUUGACAAGAAUGCAUUAUAUUUGGCUCAUGCAUGAUUCCAUUGUCUGCUAACGCCACCAUUCAUUUUUUCUUCUUUUGCUUUUGCUUUUCACUUUGUCAUCUUCUGCAAUCAUCUGGAGCACUUUGUUAAUCAAGCUUUUCGUCUUAUUCAUAGCUUAAUUAAACUAGCCCCUUUGGUCUGCAACACCACCAGAACUUUAAUUUUUGUUUUUAUAUAUGUUGCUUUGUGCUUUGGUGUGUUGGAGAAAACUUGAUCAUGUGAUUAUGCUCCAUUAAGUGACUUUCCAAGAGGUGGCUCUGUCAUCUUCACUGAUGGAGAACGAUAGGCCACACAUCCCUUUUUCUUUUAUUUAUUUUUUUAUGAACUGCACUCUUGUAGCUCAUUUGGUUUUCUUCUUUGACACUUUUUUGAGAGAAACCACCGAGCUCAUUUUGAUUUGAAGAGCAGCAGAGCCAAAGUUUCAAAGACUCUUUGCUCGGAUUUUUUUUGUUUGGAUGCAAUAUGAUAACAGCAAGCUGUUUUGACAAGAAAGCUUUAUGCUUUUCUUUUUGUUUCCUCCUUGCUGUCGGUGAGGAUUGACAGAGAUGGGUGCUUUUGAACUCGGUUUGCUUGACAUUCCUUGCAGGUUUGUUGCUGGUUUUGGUCAAGGCGACUUUGAGCAGAGCAGUUUUGUGGUGCUGCUGGGAUUUGAAGAUGAUGUUUGGCUGAGUAGUGGGUAAAUGAAACUCUACCUAGAUUAUCUCCUCGUCUUGGAGUGGAAAUGGUUCAGAAGAAAAUAGCUGCAGCCUUGAAACAUUAGUGGGUUCUGGCUUUCCUUGUAAUCAAAGUUAAGUAUUCUUCUCUGUAAUGUAGGUCUUCAAUUGUAAGAAAUUAUAUUUUGGAAUAUUCAGAUCAACUUUUGUAGCCAAUACUUUAAUUGAAUGGUCAGACAAAUUGUUUUGAAAAAAAAAAAAAAAAAAGAGAUGAUCAGUCUUCAGUAAUAGUCAAAUUGUAUUACCUGCAAUUCGGAAGUGCAAGACUUGGUGUUUGGUAAGCAUUUUUAGGUUUAACUCUACAACUGAAGUUUGGUUUGUAUUUUUGAGACUUAACUAGUAAUAUAUGUAUAUAUAUUACAUGAUUUCGCAGGAUAUAGGGGAAGGAGUUCUUGCUUCAUGUGGGUCUUAUUUUAAGUAAAAGCUUGGAGUUAGGCUCAUUAGGCUAGCAUUGGAAGCGGAUGAUUGGCUUACACACAGAAGGAUAUUGAUGUGGUUUGAGCUGAAUGGGCAAAUCAUGUUAUGCAGUUCUAACUUUGGUUCUGUUUAAGGUAGAUGAGUAGCACUUGGAACUGCUUUUGUGCAUUUAUAUAUAACUGAUGGAAAGUGUUGAUGAACUUAAAUUAUGCAUGCAGUUGCUCUGUCUAGCUACUCUUUCUUUACCUUAUAGGUUUUUGACUUUGUGCACUAGGUAAAUGAUCGAGAUAAGAUGGUUUUUUGGUUCUCUUGAUCAUAAUGUAACUGUUGGCUAGGUUUAGAGUUGGAACUAUGGAUUGUAUUUUGGAUGAUGUUGAUGCAAUUAAUGAAACGUAGCCAUCAUUUUCAAUGCUGA